AGUGAACGCUGGCGGUAGGCCUAACACAUGCAAGUCGAACGGCAGCACAGUAAGAGCUUGCUCUUACGGGUGGCGAGUGGCGGACGGGUGAGGAAUAUAUCGGAAUCUACUUUUUCGUGGGGGAUAACGUAGGGAAACUUACGCCAAUACCGCAUACGACCUACGGGUGAAAGCAGGGGAUCUUCGGACCUUGCGCGAUUGAAUGAGCCGAUGUCGGAGUAGCUAGUUGGCGGGGUAAAGGCCCACCAAGGCGACGAUCCGUAGCUGGUGUGAGAGGAUGGUCGGCCACACUGGAACUGAGACACGGUCCAGACUCCUACGGGAGGCAGCAGUGGGGAAUAUUGGACAAUGGGCGCAAGCCUGAUCCAGCCAUACCGCGUGGGUGAAGAAGGCCUUCGGGUUGUAAAGCCCUUUUGUUGGGAAAGAAAAGCAGCAGGUUAAUACCCCGCUGUUCUGACGGUACCCAAAGAAUAAGCACCGGCUAACUUCGUG
RNAcentral lists this ribosomal RNA (492 nucleotides) under uncultured bacterium. RNAcentral's name for it is "partial 16S ribosomal RNA". It matches the Rfam family "Bacterial small subunit ribosomal RNA", at positions 29 to 507 of the family's 1533-position model. The record is from RNAcentral.